RNAcentral lists this ribosomal RNA (450 nucleotides) under uncultured bacterium. RNAcentral describes it as "bacterial SSU rRNA". It matches the Rfam family "Bacterial small subunit ribosomal RNA", at positions 96 to 562 of the family's 1533-position model. The record is from RNAcentral.
CGGCGGACGGGUGAGUAACGCGUGGGUAACCUGCCCUAAAGCCCGGGAUAACACCGGGAAACUGGUGCUAACACCGGAUACCUUCCGAAGAGGGCAUCCUUUUUGGAAGAAAGGUUAACGCUUUAGGAUGGGCCCGCGUCCCAUUAGCUAGUUGGUGAGGUAACGGCUCACCAAGGCAGUGAUGGGUAGCCGGCCUGAGAGGGUGGACGGCCACACUGGGACUGAGACACGGCCCAGACUCCUACGGGAGGCGGCAGUAGGGAAUAUUGCGCAAUGGGCGAAAGCCUGACGCAGCGACGCCGCGUGGGUGAUGAAGGCCUUCGGGUUGUAAAACCCUGUCCUUGGGGAAGAAGGAAGUGACGGUACCCAAGGAGGAAGCCCCGGCUAACUACGUGCCAGCAGCCGCGGUAAAACGUAGGGGGCGAGCGUUGUCCGGAAUUACUGGGCGUA